RNAcentral lists this long non-coding RNA (220 nucleotides) under Gossypium barbadense (sea-island cotton). RNAcentral's name for it is "long non-coding RNA (GBAR_LNC002874)". Lineage: Eukaryota; Viridiplantae; Streptophyta; Magnoliopsida; Malvales; Malvaceae. The record is from RNAcentral.
UUUUGAAAUAGCGAAUAGUGUACUAGAAAUAAAAAUUUUAAAAAUUAGAAUCGGAAAUGAGAUAUCGAGAGUUUAAAAAUUUAAAAACGAGCCAUAAAUAUUUUUAUAAAUAUUUAUGGAGUGUUAAUAAGUUAGUAUUAAAGUUUCGUUAAGAAAUUUUAAAGUUUCGAUAGUUAAUUGAAUAAAAAGGAUUAAAUUGUAACAAAUAUAAAAUUAUUGG